AGUUUACUCUGAUAUUGGCCCGGUUCACUCAAAUACAUAACAUAUUCAUCAUUUACGUUAUAUUUGAUUGAGCCGUGCCAAUAUCUCAGUAUACUCU
Cucumis melo (muskmelon) is the source of this 97-nucleotide non-coding RNA. Lineage: Eukaryota; Viridiplantae; Streptophyta; Magnoliopsida; Cucurbitales; Cucurbitaceae. The record is from Rfam.